Molecule: ribosomal RNA, 310 nt
Filed under: uncultured bacterium
Lineage: Bacteria
Description: partial 16S ribosomal RNA
Rfam family: Bacterial small subunit ribosomal RNA
Source: RNAcentral
AAGAGACAGCAGUCGCCACGGGAAUACGUAGGUGGCAAGCGUUGUCCGGAAUUAUUGGGCGUAAAGGGCUCGCAGGCGGUUUCUUAAGUCUGAUGUGAAAGCCCCCGGCUCAACCGGGGAGGGUCAUUGGAAACUGGGAAACUUGAGUGCAGAAGAGGAGAGUGGAAUUCCACGUGUAGCGGUGAAAUGCGUAGAGAUGUGGAGGAACACCAGUGGCGAAGGCGACUCUCUGGUCUGUAACUGACGCUGAGGAGCGAAAGCGUGGGGAGCGAACAGGAUUAGAUACCCCUGUAGUCCCUGUCUCUUAUAC